RNAcentral lists this ribosomal RNA (48 nucleotides) under Tetraselmis sp. IOAC709S. RNAcentral's name for it is "partial 18S ribosomal RNA". It matches the Rfam family "Eukaryotic small subunit ribosomal RNA", at positions 1784 to 1831 of the family's 1831-position model. Lineage: Eukaryota; Viridiplantae; Chlorophyta; Chlorodendrophyceae; Chlorodendrales; Chlorodendraceae. The record is from RNAcentral.
UGAAGUCGUAACAAGGUUUCCGUAGGUGAACCUGCGGAAGGAUCAUUG